RNAcentral lists this ribosomal RNA (470 nucleotides) under Rhodotorula sp. AIRB-ML2.1. Its description in RNAcentral is "eukaryotic LSU rRNA". The stretch from base 45 to 198 matches the Rfam family "5.8S ribosomal RNA". Lineage: Eukaryota; Fungi; Basidiomycota; Microbotryomycetes; Sporidiobolales; Sporidiobolaceae. The record is from RNAcentral.
AAAACACAAAGUCUAUGAAUGUAUACAAAUUUAUAACAAAACAAAACUUUCAACAACGGAUCUCUUGGCUCUCGCAUCGAUGAAGAACGCAACAGAAUGCGAUACGUAGUGUGAAUUGCAGAAUUCAGAGACUCAUCAAAUCUUUGAACGCACCUUGCGCUCCUUGGUAUUCCGAGGAGCAUGCCUGUUUGAGUGUCAUGAAAUCUUCAACCCACCUCUUUCUUAGUGAACUUGGGGGUGCUUGGUUUCAGAGCGCUGCUCUGCCUCGGCUCAUCUCGUUCGUAAUGCAUUAACCUCCGCCACCGAACUUCAGAUUGACUUGGCAUAAUAGACUAUUCGCUGAAGAUUCUAGUUUUACUAGAGCCGAGUUGGGUUAAAGGAAGCUCCUAAUCCUAAAGUCUAUUUUUUGAUUAUAUCUCAAAUCAGGUAAGACUACCCGCUGAACUUAAGCAUAUCAAUAAGCGGAAAAA